Molecule: transfer RNA, 77 nt
Filed under: Hyphomicrobium sp.
Lineage: Bacteria; Pseudomonadati; Pseudomonadota; Alphaproteobacteria; Hyphomicrobiales; Hyphomicrobiaceae
Description: tRNA-His
Rfam family: tRNA
About the family: Transfer RNA (tRNA) molecules are approximately 80 nucleotides in length. Their secondary structure includes four short double-helical elements and three loops (D, anti-codon, and T loops).
Source: RNAcentral
GCCGCCUUAGUUCAGCUGGUUAGAACGCUGGUUUGUGGAACCAGAGGUCCCCCGUUCGAUCCGGGGAGGCGGUACCA